This 1480-nucleotide ribosomal RNA is filed under the name metagenome. RNAcentral describes it as "bacterial SSU rRNA". It matches the Rfam family "Bacterial small subunit ribosomal RNA". The record is from RNAcentral.
AGAGUUUGAUUCUGGCUCAGGAUGAACGCUAGCGGCAGGCCUAAUACAUGCAAGUCGAGGGGCAGCAGGGGUAGCAAUACUCGCUGGCGACCGGCGCACGGGUGCGUAACACGUAUGCAACUUUCCUUCAACUGGAAGAUAGCCCGAAGAAAUUCGGAUUAAUAUUCCAUAGUUAUGAAAUGGCAUCAUUUUAUAUUUAAAGCUCAGGCGGUUGAAGAUGGGCAUGCGUUCGAUUAGCUAGUUGGUGAGGUAAUGGCUCACCAAGGCUACGAUCGAUAGGGGAUCUGAGAGGAUUAACACCCACACUGGCACUGAGACACGGACCAGACUCCUACGGGAGGCAGCAGUAAGGAAUAUUGGACAAUGGAGGCAACUCUGAUCCAGCCAUGCCGCGUGAAGGAUGAAGGUCCUAUGGAUUGUAAACUUCUUUUGAACGGGAGAAAACCUUCGGUCGUGUACCGAAGCUGAUAGUACCGUUAGAAUAAGGGUCGGCUAACUUCGUGCCAGCAGCCGCGGUAAUACGAAGGACCCGAGCGUUAUCCGGAUUUAUUGGGUUUAAAGGGUGCGUAGGCGGAAUGGUAAGUCAGUGGUGAAAUCUUGUGGCUUAACUGCAAAACUGCCAUUGAUACUGCCAAUCUUGAGUACAUUUGAUGUGGGCGGAAUGUGCCAUGUAGUGGUGAAAUACUUAGAUAUGGCACAGAACACCGAUCGCGAAGGCAGCUCACAAAACUGUUACUGACGCUGAGGCACGAAAGCGUGGGGAUCAAACAGGAUUAGAUACCCUGGUAGUCCACGCCCUAAACUAUGAUUACUCGAUGUGUGCGAUACACAGUACGCGUCUAAGCGAAAGCGUUAAGUAAUCCACCUGGGGAGUACGGUCGCAAGAUUGAAACUCAAAGAAAUUGACGGGGGCCCGCACAAGCGGAGGAGCAUGUGGUUUAAUUCGAUGAUACGCGAGGAACCUUACCUGGGCUUGAAAGUUAGUGAAUGCUGUGGAAACAUGGCAGGCCGCAAGGACACGAAACUAGGUGCUGCAUGGCUGUCGUCAGCUCGUGCCGUGAGGUGUUGGGUUAAGUCCCGCAACGAGCGCAACCCCUAUCUUUAGUUGCCAGCGAGUAAUGUCGGGGACUCUAAAGAAACUGCCCGUGCAAACGGUGAGGAAGGUGGGGAUGACGUCAAGUCAGCACGGCCCUUACGUCCAGGGCUACACACGUGCUACAAUGGCGAGUACAAAGGGCAGCUACAUGGUGACAUGAUGCUAAUCUCUAGAACUCGUCUCAGUUCGGAUUGAAGUCUGCAAUUCGACUUCAUGAAGCUGGAUUCGCUAGUAAUCGAAUAUCAGCAAUGAUUCGGUGAAUACGUUCCCGGGCCUUGUACACACCGCCCGUCAAACAAUGGAAGCUGAGGGUACUUAAAGUCGAUAACCGCAAGGAGUCGCCUAGGGUAAAAUCGGUAACUGGUGUUAAGUCGGAACAAGGUA